ACUUGCUUUCUUUGCUGGCGACCGGCGCACGGGUGAGUAACACGUAUCCAACCUACCCUUUACUCGGGGAUAGCCUUUCGAAAGAAAGAUUAAUACCCGAUAGCAUAAUGAUUCCGCAUGGUUUCAUUAUUAAAGGAUUCCGGUAAAGGAUGGGGAUGCGUUCCAUUAGGUUGUUGGUGAGGUAACGGCCCACCAAGCCUUCGAUGGAUAGGGGUUCUGAGAGGAAGGUCCCCCACAUUGGAACUGAGACACGGUCCAAACUCCUACGGGAGGCAGCAU
Molecule: ribosomal RNA, 279 nt
Filed under: uncultured bacterium
Lineage: Bacteria
Description: partial 16S ribosomal RNA
Rfam family: Bacterial small subunit ribosomal RNA
Source: RNAcentral